Molecule: transfer RNA, 75 nt
Filed under: Hasllibacter halocynthiae
Lineage: Bacteria; Pseudomonadati; Pseudomonadota; Alphaproteobacteria; Rhodobacterales; Roseobacteraceae
Description: bacterium KME 002 tRNA
Rfam family: tRNA
About the family: Transfer RNA (tRNA) molecules are approximately 80 nucleotides in length. Their secondary structure includes four short double-helical elements and three loops (D, anti-codon, and T loops).
Source: Rfam by way of RNAcentral
GGGCCUGUAGUUCAACUGGUUAGAACGCGCCGCUCAUAACGGUUGAGGUUGUGGGUUCGAAUCCUACCAGGCCUA